GAUGAAGAACGUAGCGAAAUGCGAUACUUGGUGUGGAUUGCAGAAUCCCGUGAACCAUCGAGUCUUUGAACGCAAGUUGCGCCCGAAGCCAUUAGGCCGAGGGCACGCCUGCCUGGGCGUCACACGUCGUUGCCCCCCCAUCUACUCCUUCGGGAUUGCGGGGGGCGGAUGAUGGCCUCCCGUGCGCCUCGCCGCGCGGUUGGCAUAAAUGCCAAGUCCUCGGCGACGCACGCCACGACAAUCGGUGGUUGCGAAACCUCGGUUGCCCGUCGUGUGCGGUCGUCGCGCAUCGAGGGCUCGAAAAAAUUGCCGGGUUCCGGCUCGGCUUUCAACGCGACCCCAGGUCAGGCGGGGUUACCCGCUGAAUUUAAGCAUAUCAAUAAGCGGAGGA
Molecule: unclassified non-coding RNA, 391 nt
Filed under: soil metagenome
Description: partial contains 5.8S ribosomal RNA, internal transcribed spacer 2, and large subunit ribosomal RNA
Rfam family: 5.8S ribosomal RNA (bases 1-122)
Source: RNAcentral